This is a long non-coding RNA of Brassica napus (rape), 1015 nucleotides long. RefSeq lists it as uncharacterized. NCBI's taxonomy places the organism in Eukaryota, Viridiplantae, Streptophyta, Magnoliopsida, Brassicales, Brassicaceae. The transcript has 4 exons. The record is from RefSeq and is a predicted model, not a curated record.
UAGAAAUAUUUUAUUUUUAAUACUACAUUUGUAUAUAUUAGUAUAAUAUAUAUGAGUCUAUCACUUUUUAAAACAUAAUAAUUUUAUUGUAUAUUUGUUUAUUGAAUUGGUUGUUUUCAGAUCACGUUUUUGGUUUGGAAAAGAUUGAUAAUUAUUUAAUUCCUAUAAUGUAGUAGACAUAUUAUUUAGUUCCUAUAAUCUAGAAAGUAAGUUAUUUAGAUCUAUAAUAAUGUAAGAUUAUAAAUUAAAUGUAACAUAACUUUCUAGUAAUAGGUCCAUUAGGUCCAUUUUUUAAAAAAUCACACAUGAGUCAAAGUUGUGACUUCUGUUUUAAUAUAUAAGAUUAUCGUUUUAGCUGCUAAGGUUUGAAGAUGAAGAGGUUGAAGAGAGCUAUCAAAGGCUGAGGGAAAGAGAGAGAAGCCAUGCGUAUCUGCAUAACUGUGCUAGGGCUUACUGCUCUACCAUGGACCAUACUUAUCUCAUCCCUCAUCUACGCUUGAUCAUGGUUCAAUGGAUUGUGCAGGUGGAGCGAAGACAUAAAGCUUGUGGAGUUGUACAUAAAGCUUGUGGAGCAAUCAAAUGUCAUUGAUGUGCCUGGUUUGUCUUAUAGAAACAUCCCUUCCGUUGCCUCAACUGCUAUAGGAGAGCUGGCUAUAUCCAAAGGAAGACAGGGAAGAGAAGCAUAAAACCUAUUGAGGGACUCGGUAUAUGUGGCGAAUAUUCGUCUGGCGAAUAUUCAUCUUAAGGGAGUUGAAACAGGUGUCUUAGUUACUACAUAUGAACCUAUUCUCAUCAAGUAAGUCUCACCAACGUUAACCUUGUUGUUGUUCGGCAUUGUCUUUGGGUCUCAUGUGUUUUGUAUAUUGUGCAUAUGAAUUAUGAACCUAUUCUCAUGUUUUUUUUUCAUGGUUGUUUAAAAUUUUUAAUUAUAAAUUUUUAUUUGUAUUUUUAAUAUGUUCUUAUGUCAUAUUUGUUUAAAUUUUAUGAAAUCCAAUAAUUUAUAAGUUUUGUAAAA